Molecule: ribosomal RNA, 253 nt
Filed under: uncultured bacterium
Lineage: Bacteria
Description: partial 16S ribosomal RNA
Rfam family: Bacterial small subunit ribosomal RNA
Source: RNAcentral
UACGUAGGGACCAAGCGUUGUUCGGAUUUACUGGGCGUAAAGGGCGCGUAGGCGGCAAUUCAAGUCAUCUGUGAACUCUCCGGGCUUAACUCGGAAUGGUCAGGUGAUACUGCUUUGCUAGAGUGCAGAAGGGGCAAUCGGAAUUCUUGGUGUAGCGGUGAAAUGCGUAGAUAUCAAGAGGAACACCUGAGGUGAAGACGGGUUGCUGGGCUGACACUGACGCUGAGGCGCGAAAGCUAGGGGAGCAAACGGG